This 468-nucleotide ribosomal RNA is filed under the name uncultured bacterium. Its description in RNAcentral is "partial 16S ribosomal RNA". It matches the Rfam family "Bacterial small subunit ribosomal RNA", at positions 28 to 507 of the family's 1533-position model. The record is from RNAcentral.
GACGAACGCUGGCGGCGUGCUUAACACAUGCAAGUCGAACGGAAAGGCCCUGCUUUUGUGGGGUGCUCGAGUGGCGAACGGGUGAGUAACACGUGAGUAACCUGCCCUUGACUUUGGGAUAACUUCAGGAAACUGGGGCUAAUACCGGAUAGGAGCUCCUGCUGCAUGGUGGGGGUUGGAAAGUUUCGGCGGUUGGGGAUGGACUCGCGGCUUAUCAGCUUGUUGGUGGGGUAGUGGCUUACCAAGGCUUUGACGGGUAGCCGGCCUGAGAGGGUGACCGGCCACAUUGGGACUGAGGUACGGCCCAGACUCCUACGGGAGGCAGCAGUGGGGAGUAUUGCGCAAUGGGCGGAAGCCUGAUGCAACAACGCCGCGUGCGGGAUGACGGCCUUCGGGUUGUAAACCGCUUUCGCCUGUGACGAAGCGUGAGUGACGGUAAUGGGUAAAGAAGCACCGGCUAACUACGUG